RNAcentral lists this ribosomal RNA (479 nucleotides) under uncultured soil bacterium. Its description in RNAcentral is "bacterial SSU rRNA". It matches the Rfam family "Bacterial small subunit ribosomal RNA", at positions 26 to 522 of the family's 1533-position model. The record is from RNAcentral.
AGAACAAACGCUGGCGGCGUGCCUAAUACAUGCAAGUCGAACGAGGAAGUACCUUCGGGUAUUGUACUAGUGGCGUACGGGUGAGUAACGCGUGGAUAAUCUUCCUUAGAGUGGGGAAUAACUAGUCGAAAGAUUAGCUAAUACCGCAUAAGACCACAGGGGCUUCGGCUCAAGGGGUUAAAGGAGCAAUUCGCUCUAAGAUGAGUCUGCGCCCGAUUAGCUAGUUGGUGAGGUAACGGCUCACCAAGGCGACGAUCGGUAGCUGGUCUGAGAGGACGGCCAGCCACACUGGGACUGAGACACGGCCCAGACUCCUACGGGAGGCAGCAGUAGGGAAUAUUGCACAAUGGAGGAAACUCUGAUGCAGCGACGCCGCGUGAGUGAUGAAGGCCUUCGGUUGUAAAGCUCUGUUCUCAGGAAAAAGCAAGUGAUUGUACCUGAGAGAAAGGACCGGCUAACUCGUGCCAGCAGCCGCGUAA